This is a long non-coding RNA of Hippopotamus amphibius kiboko, 752 nucleotides long. RefSeq lists it as uncharacterized. Lineage: Eukaryota; Metazoa; Chordata; Mammalia; Artiodactyla; Hippopotamidae. The record is from RefSeq and is a predicted model, not a curated record. The transcript has 5 exons.
UUCAAACAACACAGAUUUCAGCACUGAGGUCUUCUAGUGUGAUCACAAACUACAAAAAAAUAAAAACAUGUAAAAUAUAUACAAACACUUCUUAAAGAAUAAGGAAAUAGCCAAACCUCCAAGUUGCUUCUGAAAGCAAGAGCCAAGUUUAUUCCACAGUUGAUGUGUAAGAAGAGCUGGAAUGGACUUCCUGUCAUAAAUUGCUAAUUCAAAAUUUUCCAUCAGAUGUAUCAUCUCUCAACUUAAAGAUUAUGGAGUAAUGCACCCAUGUGAAGAACGCGAGGCUCAGAGAGGCAGAGCAACUUACGGCGAGUCACACAGCUAAAUCCACCUCCAGUCUGUCUCCCCAUGUGAAGCCCUCCAACGUGUUGCCUUGGUUCAGUGCAACAGGAUCCUACCUGGUAUCUGACUUCUAACACGAUCUGAGUCCAAUCCAUUUUUCACGGAGCCACAGUUCUGAAGCCAGGUCUGGGAACCUCUCGUGACCCCCUGGUAUUGUGGACUCCGCUAAUGAAAGCAUUGUAUUUACUUGACCGUCGCCUCACAGGAAGGCAGCCUCCUCUGACUUCUGGGUAUUUCCAACAAUGCCAGCUGCGCACAACCUGACCCCCCUGAGGUUUGGGGCUGGGGCUGGAGGUCCCCCAUGAGGAGAAAUCCCGCCUGUGAUCCUCUUCUGCUUCCUGCUUCUGGGUCCUUCAGCUGAAGUUGCUUCAGACUUAUCUUGUGCACUGUCCUCAACUGUCUACAGUGGA